GUCUGCUGCAGCUUGUCGUUAUAGUUACUGUCAUCUUACUUUUGUCUAUUGUUCCUUCUCUAUUUUCAGCUAAUCAACCCUGCUGAAACUUUCGGGGACAUUGUUAUAGAUUAUCCUUAUGUGGAAUGUACCUCAGCAGCAAUUCAAGCACUGGCAUCAUUUAAGAACUUAUAUCCAGGAUAUCGGAGAGAAGACAUUGAAACUUGUAUUGCAAAAGCUGUGGGGUUCAUUGAAAAAAUACAAAGACCAGAUGGUUCAUGGUAUGGCUCUUGGGCUGUUUGCUUCACCUAUGGGACAUGGUUCGGGAUAAAGGGGUUGAUAGCUGCU
Molecule: long non-coding RNA, 327 nt
Organism: Macadamia integrifolia
Lineage: Eukaryota; Viridiplantae; Streptophyta; Magnoliopsida; Proteales; Proteaceae
Exons: 3
Source: RefSeq, a predicted model, not a curated record